Long non-coding RNA from Raphanus sativus (radish), 6821 nucleotides. RefSeq lists it as uncharacterized. NCBI's taxonomy places the organism in Eukaryota, Viridiplantae, Streptophyta, Magnoliopsida, Brassicales, Brassicaceae. The record is from RefSeq and is a predicted model, not a curated record. The transcript has 4 exons.
AUCACUUUAUUAUUUCCGUAGUUUCUUUCUUCAUAAAAAAAAAAAUCUCUCGAUAAAUCGAGUCCUCCAAAAGUCGCAGAAACGGAAAAUUCAUGAACAUUGUCAGAUUAGUAAGUGUUUACAUCUCUGUAAAUCAUGAAUUUCUCUGAGGAUUGAAGCUUCGAUCGCCGUUUUGUUUUAGAGUUUCGCGCUGUUUUGUUCUCUUUGGAUUCCGCCUGAAUCUGAUCCGAUUGAUUGGGUUUCUCGCUCGUCGUCGAGAUCGAGGAUCCAAGAAGAGAGAACCUGUUUGGUUUUGCUACCCAAACUGGAUCACAUACAUACGGUGUCCCUUUCUCUCUCUCUGUCACUGCUGAUUCCGAUGGUGGUCAAGAGGAUCAUAGCAGAAAAAAAGUUCAGAUAGCCUUCCCCCCUAAGGAGAAAGAGGCUGACGAGAGAGAUGCAAGAGCUAAAAGUGAUGAAGCAAUUUGCUGGGAUCUUGGUUACGUUUUGAAGCCCGACUCCGCGUGAAACCACCUUUUUAAGGUAAAUUCUCUUUCUACGCUAGAGUUUCCCGAUUUGUUUUUGAAGCUUGAUUCCGGUUUUUGUUUUGAGAUUAUUUCUUUAUUUAAUAAACACAUCUGAUGUCUUUGGGAUUUUGACAUCAGCGUUCCUUUUUUUACUGGUUUUGUUUUUGAAUUCAACAAAGCCUUUCAACGCCUUCUUCUAAUGUUUUUGGGUAUUGUUUUGUUUUGAUAUUUUUGCUUUUCACUUCAAAACCCCCAAAAAGAUCAUAGACAGACACUAAUCUAAUAGUGCACUGUCAGAUUCUUAUUUUGGGAACAUUUGUCCCGUUGCUGCCUCUAGAAGAUGCUUAUUACCCACGGCUUGAGAGAAUCUGUUUUUAAUUAUUUGGAUGGAAUGUGGGGAUAUAAUGACCCAAGUCUUUAGACAAAGACUGAAAAUUAAAAACAGAUUCCUUUCUUAACACUACCCACGGCUUACGUCUUUAGGCAAAGACAUGACCCACGGCUUACAAAAUCAGACUUGUUAGACAGGUCAGUUAAAAAGACCCAAGGCUUACAAAAGUCUUCAGACAAAGACUUGUUAGUCAUGUCAGUUAAAAAGACCCAAGGCUUACAAAAGUCUCAGGACAUGUCAGUUAAAAGUCCCAACGGCACAAGUCUUUUGGUACCCACGGCUUGAGAGAAUCUGUUUUUAAUUAUUUGGAUGGAAUGUGAUGUAUAAUGACCAAAGUCUUCAGACAAAGACUGUAAGUUAAAAACAGAUUCCUUUCUUAACACCACCAACUGCUUACGUCUUUAGGCAAAGGCAUGACCCACGGCUUACAAAAGUCUUCAGACUUGUUAGACAAGUCAGUUAAAAAGACCCAAGGCUUACAAAAGUCUUCAGACAAAGACUUGUUAGUCGUGUCAGUUAAAAAGACCAAAGGCUUACAAAAGUCUCAAGACAUGUCAGUUAAAAGUCCCAACGACACAAGUCUUUUGGUACCCACGGCUUGAGAGAAUCUGUUUUUAAUUAUUUGGAUGGAAUGUGGAGUAUAAUGACCAAAGUCUUCAGACAAAUACUGUAAUUAAAAACAGAUUCCUUUCUUAACACUAUCCACGGCUUACAAAAGACUUCAGACUUGUUAGACAAGUCAGUUAAAAAGACCCAAGGCUUACAAAAGUCUUCUGACAAAGACUUGUUAGUCAUGUCAGUUAAAAAGACCCAAGGCUUACAAAAGUCUCAAGACAUGUCAGUUAAAAGUCCCCACAGCACAAAAGCCUUUUACUACACACGGCUUACAAAAGUCUUAAGACAAAGACUUGUUAGACAUGUCAGUUAAAAAGACAAAGGCAUACAAAGCAUGUCAGUUAAAAGUCCCCACGGCUUAAAAGUCUUUACUACUACCCACGGCUUAAGAAAAUCUGUUUUGAUCAACUGGAUGGUAUUUAGCGACCAGUGGUUAUGAAAGUCUUAAGACAAAGACUACACACACUUAAAACAGAUUCCUUACUUCUUUACCCACGGCUUAAAAGUCUUAACUACUACCCACGGCUUAAGAAAAUCUGUUUUGAUCAACUGGAUGGUAUGUAUAGCGACUAGUGGUUAUGAAAGUCUAAAGACAGAGUACACACUAGAAAUAGAUUCCUUACUUCUUUACCCACGGCUUGCACAGUUCAAAGACCCAUGGCUUACAAAAACUCUAGACAAUAACAUAUACCCACGUCUUACAAAAACUCUUCAGACAAUAUAACAUAAAAGACAUGUCGGUUAAAGGACUUAUAGAUGGAAAUGUCCUUAGAGAAAGACUAUGAAUGGGGAACCGAGACCCAUUUGAAUGGGAAAGAAACUUUAAUCACCCACGGCUUAAAGACUUGUAAGACAUGUCGUUUGAAACACUUCCAGUCUUACAGAUGGAAAAUGUCAUUACAAAAAAAGACUUCUAAAGGUGUUAGGGGAUGCCAAAUAAGACCACACGUCUUAAAAGAUAGAAGACACUAUCUAUGGCUAACCAAAAUCUAUAACGACCAACGGUUUAAGAAAGUCUCAAGACUACAAAAUGGAAACAGAUUCCUUACUUUACUGCUACCCACGGCUUACAAAACCAUUUAGACAUGUCGGUUGAGACACAUAUAGAUGGAACAUAUCCUUAGACAAAGGCUAUGAAUGGGAACCAAGAACCCUUUGACAGGGACUUUACUACUCACGGCUUACAAAGACAGGUUAGUUAAAAGACAUACGGAUAGAGCAUGUCCUCAGAAAAAGGAUAUGAAUGGGAAUUGAGAACUAUUUAGACAGGGAUUAAACUAUACUAUAACUCACGGCUUACAAAAACGAUCAAGCAGUGAGUUAAAAUACAAAAGAGGGAUCAAAAGUCUUUAAAAGACAAUGGUUCGGUUAUAGAUUUGCUGGAUGGAAUAAAACGACCAGCUACUACUUCCACAAGGCUUAAAAGUGAAAAACUAUGGGUUCACUUUCAUUAUGUUGGAUGAAUAUAACGACCAACAGCUUAGAGAAGUCUGACAAAACGAACAAUAGUUUAAAGAAGACAUGUUGGGUUGGAAACAUACACUAACGGUUUAGAGUUAUGACUCAGAUUCUGAACUGAAAACAAGAUUUGAAGUGGUUUGUUGUAUGGAUAAACAACCAACAAUUUCAGAAUACUACAAAUCGUAUGUGAUUCUUUACUGUACUACAUACUAUAUAGCGACAAAAAAAUGAAAAACUAAUUCAUGAUCUAGGCAUUGGAAGGAACAUGGUCCUCAUGAAACAUACUAAAUGUAAGUAAAGAUUAAUUCUUUUUUUUUCCUCAGGUUUGUGCUUCAGGAGGUGUUCAAAUGGUUAGACUCUGAGGAGAUUACAAGUCUGGCAGACUUUCGUGACAGGUAUUAUGCUUCUCACAAAUCUCUUUGUAAUAAAUUGAGUCUUACGCAGAUAUAUAUUUUGUAGGCAGAGAGACUUCUGCAGUUUAUUUGACUAUUGAAUCUAUUUUUUGUGUUAUCUACUAACCUUAUUGACGAUCAUUCUAAAUAUAGGAAAUGACGUUCAUAUCAUUUUAUAACUAAUUUUGGUUCUUGCAUUCUGCAUUCUACAAUCUACAUUCAGCAUAAUGUUUUUUACAAUUCUGCAUCCUGCAUCCUGCAUCCUGCAUCACGUCUGUACAAUUCGCAUCCUGCAUCCUGCAUCCUGCAUUCUGUCUUUACAACUCUGCAUUAUGUAUUACACCAAAAAACUCUGCAUUAUGUGUAUCAUGUCUUUACCAUUCUGCAUCCUGCAUAUGUCUUUAAAUUCUGCAUUAUGUAUCGUGUGUUUACAAUCUUGUAAUCAUAUUUGUAUGUCUAAUAAAUUCUGGCAUUCUGCAUCAUAGUUCAUAUACUUAUGAUUGAUGUAUUAUAUUCUAUAAAUGUUAUCUAUUGAAUUGGAUUUUUAAUACACACUGAUCAAAAAUAUAUUUGUUAUGGUGCUAGUGUUUAUCAUUAGUCGUACAUAGUUGGUGGUUCUGGAAAUUUACUGAAUCAUUGGUGGAUUUAUUUAGCAUGCGCAGUAUAUCGUCUCCUUUGUAGGCACAUCAUAUAUGCUGUAAUCUUCUAGGUUUUUAGGUAGGCUAAGUUUAAUAUAUGCCUAAAAUCUUAUUUCGGUUUAAUAAAUUGUAUUUCUGCUAUUAUAGUGGUUAAUUUGGAAGUUUUUGACUCAUUUUCCGUGCAUAUUGUUCAUUGUAGCUUGAAGGUAAUUUCAGUUGUACUCUUUUAAUAUCUUGCACCUGGUCUUGUCCAUGAUUUACUCCAUAUAUAAUCUUCCACGAAGAUAAUUUUAUUGCUGUUUUUUUUUGUUUAAUAUGGAAAAUCUGAAUUUAGAUGUUAGUUUUGUUGAUAAAGAAAAUGCCUUCUAUAUAUUUUUUAAAGUUUCUUAAGAUGGUUUAUUAUUCUCUCAAACUAAUAAUAAAACUUGUUAGACUCAAAUUGAGAUUCUCUAAAUAAUCUAUGAUCUAAAUUCCAUAAUUUGACUUUAGUGGUUGCAUGUGGACUAUGUUUUUUUUCAAUUUACGAUUUGAUAUUAUUGAUUCGUGGAUGUGUUCUAGGUUACAAAUUUUGCAUGCUUAAUUUUAUUGGUUUUGGCAUGAUCAAUGUUUUUAUUAAAACAAACACUUGAAUCUCUUUUGACUAUGUUUACUAAACAGUUUAAGGUUACGAGAUAAAUUAUUAUUGCAACAUAAUGUUAAAAUCAUGAUUAUUCGUCUUAAAUUAAAGUAGUACUAUAAGGAAACUACAACUCUCACGGAAAUAUUAUUUUAAGAUUACCAAUUUAACUUCAUAAUACCUAUUUUCAAUUUUUUUUUAACAAUUUAACAAACUUUUAGUCAAAAUUUAGUACGUCAUUACUUAGGAGGGCUCUCUCUAAGUUCCAUCUUAUAACUGAAGUAUAUGACGUUCCAACUUAAGCAACCAAUGAACAAACUAUACAUUAUCGAAGUACAGUGACGUCUCCCAACUUAUUAAGCAAACAAAGAAAAAACUAUACACUUACAAUAUUCCCAGAAGUAAUGAAUCGUAUAAUAUUCUGAAAAGCAAUGAAUACUAUAUAUUUAAACAAUGCCGAAGGAGCUGCAACUUAGAAAAGUGGUGUCAACUUAGCGGCUAAACAUACGACAAAUCAUGAUUUGAUUACUAAGUAUCUUAGUAUAUGAAAAAAUUAGUUUGAGUAAACAUAGUCAACAUUUUAUCUCACUAAUUCAUCUACUAUAUUGCUUAUCUUUUCUUUCUUCACAAGUAAUGAAAAAUAAAUCUAAAAACAAAAUUUGCAAAAGAAAAGCCCUUUCCAAACACAGUUAUAAUAUCAGAAGCUUUAUAAUCCAAUCUCGACAACAACAACAACAAACAAAUCUAUACACAUGCACACUUUAGACCCAACCAUGUUUGUAUUUGCGGGAAAGAUCUUCAUUCUGAGCAUUCCUAAAUGCACUAAACGCAGUAACAUAUACCCAAAUGAGAAUAACGACGGUCUCAUCGGCCACAUAGUAAAUGCACCAAUUCACAUACUAUUUACAAGUCCAAGCGACCAAAUCACGAGGAAAGCAAACAAUGAAUAUUUAAUAACCAUUGUAUGACUAUAUAUAAUUAUUGCACAUUUUUAUUAAUCUUAUAUCAUAACAAAAAUUAAUAACUUUCAAUCAAAUAAUCAACAAUUUGGCUAUUACACUUUUUAAUUGUCAUGCAUAUGUUUAAACUUAGAUUUUCAUACAUUUAAACUUAAAGUGUCAUGCAUAUAUUUAAACUUAAGUUUAUUUUAUAGUAUAAUCUCAAGAUCAACUAUGCAGAGACUACAACUAAAUUAAUACAUCUUUAUGUCAAUAUAUCAAUACAUGUUUAUUUUCUAAAAUAGUAUUAAAAAUGUUCUAGAUUAUAAUAUUAGAAGAAAGCUAUACUAAUAAUAGCACAUAAACUUUGAUAUUUCUGGUCUAAAUUUUUCUGACUAGAUAUUUGCUUAAGCAUUUAUUACAAUCGAAAAAUAAAAUAAGUCAAAUGUCAUAUGAACACAAGUUUUUGACUUUAGGAAAAGAUUCACAUGCCACCUUCAAGUUCGCUGCAAGGCUCCAAACAACACAUAUAUCUUAAACUUAUGAAAGAGUUCAUCCCUGCUGUUUACUUGUCAACGCUGGUUAUCUUGAUUUGUAAUGUAUCCAUGAAUAUAUAAUUAUUGGAAAUUGGCAAACAAUGUAAUUUCUUGUAGUAUGUGAUUUUUUUCAUAAAGCUAAUUGAUCAAAUUAAAAAGAAUUAACUACAAUUGCGCUUGCACAUUAUACCUGUUUAGUAAAUGUUCGUGUAUGAUUUUUUUGGAAUAUGCAUGCAUUGUGGUCGUGCUUUCACACGCAAACCUUUGGUUUAAGAUCAUCUACAUGUUAGUUUACAUUUCAAAGUAUUAAAUAUCCAAAGUAUGAUUCUAUUCAAGAUCACUUUAAUAUCUUGACAUCUUGUAGGGAUAUACUACAAGAUUGGAUAUUUCUAUAAGAAAAUUAACUAGCCUUAAGUUACAAAAAAAAAAAAAAAAAAUUAACUAGCCUGCUAAUAUUGGAUAUUGAAGUGAUAUUGAAUAGUAGUAUUAUAGUACUUUGGUAAAAUAUCACACUCAUUUUUUACUCGUUUUCAUAUUUUAUCAACUCGUCUUGCAAGCGUAAGCAAAUAUAGUCUUGUCAUCGAAAAUCAUAAUAAAAACUUUGAUAUUUGAAAGCAAAGUUCACUGAUCAUAUUAUUAUUAAGCCACAACUUUGGGAAUUUGAAUAUGCUACUUUAAAUGUCUCUAAGGAUACCCUUUGACUUUUGAACUCUUAUAUACACUAGAUC